RNAcentral lists this ribosomal RNA (429 nucleotides) under Chloroflexota bacterium. Its description in RNAcentral is "Chloroflexi bacterium partial 16S ribosomal RNA". It matches the Rfam family "Bacterial small subunit ribosomal RNA", at positions 355 to 776 of the family's 1533-position model. Lineage: Bacteria; Bacillati; Chloroflexota. The record is from RNAcentral.
UGGGGAAUAUUGCACAAUGGGCGCAAGCCUGAUGCAGCCAUGCCGCGUGUGUGACGAAGGCCUUCGGGUUGUAAAGUACUUUCAGUCGGGAGGAAGGUGGUAAGGUUAAUAACCUUAUCAAUUGACGUUACCGACAGAAGAAGCACCGGCUAACUCCGUGCCAGCAGCCGCGGUAAUACGGAGGGUGCAAGCGUUAAUCGGAAUUAAUGGGCGUAAAGCGCACGCAGGCGGUUGAUUGAGUCAGAUGUGAAAUCCCCGGGCUUAACCCGGGAAUUGCAUCAGAUACUUGUCAGCUAGAGUCUUGUAGAGGGGGGUAGAAUUCCAUGUGUAGCGGUGAAAUGCGUAGAGAUGUGGAGGAAUACCGGUGGCGAAGGCGGCCCCCUGGGCAAAGACUGACGCUCAGGUGCGAAAGCGUGGGGAGCAAACAGG